RNA transcript from Drosophila sechellia, 3225 nucleotides. RefSeq lists it as uncharacterized. The record is from RefSeq and is a predicted model, not a curated record. The transcript is spliced from 4 exons. Lineage: Eukaryota; Metazoa; Arthropoda; Insecta; Diptera; Drosophilidae.
AAGUGCGGCAGUAAGAGUGCCAUAAAUCGAAAAUUAAAAGGGAUAUCCCAAUCCUAAGAUAACAAACAACAAACUGAAGCGCAAUGAAUGAAUAUGGCCACGAAAUCACGCAGAUACUUGUACCAAAGCAAAUGUAGCUAAGUUUCCCGAUAAUCCAAUUACGUUAACACUGACGAAAGGUCGCAGAAACAUGGCUAAUUGUUUGUCUGGCGCCGUUCUGCGCAGUGAAUGCAUAACAUUCGGUGGUGUCAUUGUCAGUGGGGCAUUCAAUAGAUAGAUCGAAUCACGGAUCGAUAUUCGUUAGCAACUUUAACUUUUUCCCCAAACGCUCUCCAAUCGCGGAUAUUUUCCUGUUGACCGAAGAAAGCCUAUUAGUCCAUUAGCCCUCGAAAGGCAUCCACAGUUAAUAGUAUUUUCCGUGUGGUUCCUUAUAUAAGUAUAGUCUAUCCAAUCCACCGCAGGGUGGUGAAAAACUGAGACUAGCGCCCUUAUGUCAUAGGGCGCGGGGGCAAAAAGCUGGCAAAACCCACACGGUGGCGUAUACUUAAUUUAAUUUGCCUCUGGCAUUCUUCCAGUACAGCGAUAGCCGCGCAUUUCGGGCAGAUUUAGUCACGAAUUUGAAUUUCCCAAGUACGCGCGAUUCAGAAUUUAAACAGAGUAACGUAAAAGUGAGGACUACACCCAUAACAUAUUGAAUUGGAUUGCAGUUAUUUGAAAAAUAUUUAAAAAAAAUAGUGUGCUGAUUUGUGAUUGUGAUUCAUUCAAUGCGAAACGGAAUAAACUAUUCACAUAAACUUAACAAUACUCUAAAGUAACAUUAAGUCUAUUGUAUUUUAAUGCAAACAUAAAAAAUUAAAGCCGUCAAACUCAAGCCAUAAUACACAAUAGCAAAGACCCACCAACUACAGCCUAACAUAAUGUCCAAGAAACUCCCAACUAUAUCCGUAACUGCCGACAAGCGAUCCACCCAUUCCGACUUAUCCUCCUCAUCGUCAUCCCACGACACAGAUAGCAAUGACAUGGACUAUGGGCGCAAUGGCGGCGGGGGCGUAACCGAUGUCGAAGAUUUCGACAGCCAGGUGGAGGUACUAAAACCAAGCUCCCGCCGCAAUUCUUGUAACUCCUCUCUGAAGCCCAAAGCUCAUCCCAAAGCGAAUACGGGAGACAACGAUGUGACUGAUGUGGAGGACUACGAUACAGAAUCGGAAGAUGAUGAGAAGAGCACAGCAUACCCAGAACUAAAGCUGUCGCUAAGGGAGUUUCUCCAACAGGGACUCCAGAACCAAGAAGCCGUCGAUAAUGAUGCCAAGGAGAGCUGUGAAAUAAAAGCCGGAGAUUUCGUGCAAGCACAAAACCUGAAUGGUCUGGCAGACUAUCUGACUGAUUGCGAGGACUACGACACCGAUUCCGAAGUUGGAUUUGGUUGUGAGAAAUCAGUAUGCGUUGACCUGGAUCAUGCUGUGGGAGAUCAGGGGCGCGUAAACAUAGCAGAUGGCGAAAAGAACCAAGACGACUCCGAUCAAUAUGAAGAUGUUUCUGUGAUUAGUGAUAUAAGCGAUUUGGCCUCAGCUAUGUCCGAUUGCACAGGUAUUGCAGUGCGUGGCAUGUCCGAGGAUGAAGUUUUGGAGGUAUCCGAUAGUGGUCACGAAGAGGUUUGCAACAUUGCCUGUUCAGAAUCCGAGUCUGAGUCUGAGGGCGCAGCUGCUUUGAGCCAGAGUGAGACUAGUGAGACUAGUUUUCCACCUAUUGAUGUGGCCUUCGUUAGUGCCAGCGGACAGCCACGUCGAAAUUCGAAGUGCAGUAUACCCACGCCUGGACAGAAAAAUUUUCUUCAGCUGGCUUCAAAAAACGAAGAGGUUUUAACUGACGUUGAGGGUAUUGACGACUCUGUCGGCGAAGAUAGCUUUGACAACGAGGAGGAGGACGAAGAACCCAUACCACGUGCCAUAAUCCUUGCGUCUGGCGAUGAUGGGACCUGCCUUACUGAUGUCGAGGACAUGUUCUGUGAAGAUAGUUCGCUAUCCACCAGUGCUGAACCGGAAAUUCGUUCAAUCUGCCACGAGGUCUUACCACUGCCCCAUCGCGAAGUAGUAGAACUGAAGGAGGACAAGUACGGGGACACAAUAACCAAUGUUAUGCCCAUGGACACGAACUACGAGUUUGGCAUUUACAACCACUUGAAGGAUAUGAUUCACACCGAUUCCGAGGACUAUUCGUGUGCCGAUGAGUGGAGCCUUCAACAUUCAGUUGCUGAGGAUGCUGCAAUGGGAGGACCGAGCCUAAUUGAAAACGAAGUAAUUGUAUCCAAUGAACUAUUGAAACAGCAGCAAAACAAGCGCCUGGAGGUACAGACCAAUGCCGAGUCCGUAACAGAUGUUGAGGAAAUCUUCGUGGCCGGAAUAAAUCGCCGCAAGAAGUUGAAGACCCGGACUCUAAGCAAGGGCAAGAAUAAACUACUCGACGCCGUGAAGGGCAAAGAGGAUGGAGUCACAGAUGUCGAGGACAUGGACCUAAGUGAAUGCGGUUUACCUUUGGGCGUGAAGCGCGUGGAGCAGCUGAAACAACAGGCAAAGGGAUCAAAUGCGGACAAAUCCUCAGAAUCAGAGGAUGUAUCCACCGAUGAUGUCUCCGACAUCUCCGAUGUCUCCGACGUACCACCGCUAUCGACAGGUGAUAGAACUAGCGGCAAGACAAAGCCACAACCGCAUCACUUCCGUCUGCUAAAGAAUGAUAUGAUAAAUCAGGAACAUACCGAUGUUGAGGACGUUCAAUUGCCCUCGGAUGCGGAGGAUGCUCUGGAACCACCGGCCGUUCCAGUGGCCAACAGCAACAGUAAGGAGCUGAAUGAUAUGUUGAACGAGAGCUAUACGGUGGUGCACGAGAUGAGUGGUCGCAGUUUCAACAGCGAGGCCGAGAAGCUACAUGCUAAAGGCGUCAUCCGAGAUGCCCAUACCGACGUUGAGUAUGUUGAGUCUGACGAGUCAGCCGCCAGGGGAGGCAACUAGCGUGCGUCCCGUGUCCUCAGCCAAUCCGACUCGAGUCAGUCCCAAGCUGUUGCCAAAAUAUAUCUCAACAAUAGUUAAUAAGUGUUCAUAGAUACGAAAACCCAACACACACACUCUCAAGCAUUUUAAACCCUUCAGGAAAGAAAAGUAGACCUAACCAGUCUGGAUACCGCAAAGAUCUCACAUGAAAUUGGUGAUGUUAAAGUUGGUGGUGGUGAUG